Molecule: ribosomal RNA, 500 nt
Filed under: uncultured bacterium
Lineage: Bacteria
Description: bacterial SSU rRNA
Rfam family: Bacterial small subunit ribosomal RNA
Source: RNAcentral
AGAGUUUGAUCCUGGCUCAGGAUGAACGCUAGCGGCAGGCUUAACACAUGCAAGUCGUGGGGCAGCGCGGACUUCGGUCUGGCGGCGACCGGCAAACGGGUGCGGAACACGUACGCAACCUCCCUCAGAGCGGGGAAUAGCCUCUCGAAAGAGAGAUUAAUACCCCAUAGUAUCUUGAAGACACAUGUCUAUGAGAUUAAAGCUUCGGCACUUUGAGAUGGGCGUGCGGCUGAUUAGGUAGUUGGUAGGGUAACGGCCUACCAAGCCGACGAUCAGUAGCUGAUGUGAGAGCAUGAUCAGCCACACGGGCACUGAGACACGGGCCCGACUCCUACGGGAGGCAGCAGUGAGGAAUAUUGGUCAAUGGAGGAAACUCUGAACCAGCCAUGCCGCGUGGAGGAUGAAGGUCCUCUGGAUUGUAAACUCCUUUAUAAAAGAAGAAACCCCAUUUUCUAAAUGGGUUGACGGUACUUUAUGAAUAAGCACCGGCUAACUCCGUG